Acanthopagrus latus (yellowfin seabream) is the source of this 440-nucleotide long non-coding RNA. RefSeq lists it as uncharacterized. The record is from RefSeq and is a predicted model, not a curated record. Lineage: Eukaryota; Metazoa; Chordata; Actinopteri; Spariformes; Sparidae. The transcript has 3 exons.
AGCAGUUUGUCUGAGCCGCGGUGACGUCUCGCUGCAGCCAACCGGUGACAAGCUCCUGUCUCACUUCCUGAUGAAGCCCGACCCCUCCAGCUCAGGACACGAGCCUCUGGCAGGGGCUCGGUCAUCUGGCCUGGUGGACAUCCCAAGUGUCAGAACACACCAGCGGACAUGGGUGGAGGUUUUUGGAAAACAGAGGAGUAGGCGAUGAUCUCACCGAGGAGACCGCAGAGAUCAUUUGUGGGCGUGUCAGAGUACGACCUCGACACACACAGUCGUUCUUUCUGCAGGCGGGAAGUGCAACAGGCGCUUGGCCAGGUCCUUGUCUGAAGCCUGGGGGACUCCUGUCGGCCACUCCACCUUCACCUCCUCCUCCUCGGGCGUCUCCUCACACGGCUCCUCCUCCUCCUCCUCUUCUACCUCCUGUCCUUCCUCAUACGUCU